CGUGCAUAUGAAAAGAAAGCGGAAGGCAGAGAGGAACGGGAACCGCGUUUGUCCAAUGGCAGCGCAGAAACACGCCCACCUGACAGACUAGCGCGAACGUGGAGGAGGAUUCUCUAAUAUGGACUGUACAUCAUUAAAAUACUGCAAUUUCAUGCCUGGGCAUGCUCCUGAUGAGGUGGCGGAUGGUGUCCUGGGGGAUCUCUUCCCAGACAUGGACUAAAGUAUCCGCCAGCUCCUGGACAGUAUGUGGUGCACCGUGGCUUUGGUGGAUAGAGCGAGACGUGAUGUCCCAGAUGUGCUCGACUGGAUAUAGGUCUGGGGAACGGGUAGGCCAGUCCAUAGCAUUAAUGCCUUUGUCUUGCAGGAACUGCUGACACACUCCAGCCACAUGAAGUCUAGCAUUGUCUUGCAUUAGGAGGAACCCAGGCCCAACAACACCAGCAUAUGGCCUCACAAGGGGUCUAAGGAUCUCAUCUCGGUACCUAAUGGCAGUCAGGCUACCUCUGGCGAGCACAUGGAGGGCUGUUCAGCCCCACAAAGAAAUGCCACCCCAAACCGUUACUGACCCACUGCCAAACCGGUCAUGCUGGAGGAUGUUGCAGGCAGCAGAAUGUUCUCCAUCGUGUCUCCAGACUCUGUCACGUCUGUCAUAAUGUGCUCAAUGUGAACCUGCAUUCAUCUGUGAAGAGCACAGGGCACCUGUGGCAAAGUUCCCAAUCUUGGUGUUCUCUGGCAAAUGCCAAACGUCCUGCACGGUGUUGGGCUGUAAGUACAAUCCCCACCUGUGGACAUCGGGCCUUCAUCCCACCCUCAUGGAGUCUGUUUCUGACCGUUUGAGCAGACACAUGCACAUUUGUGGCCGGCUGGAGGUCAUUUUGCAGAGCUCUGGCAGUGCUCCUCCUGUUCUUCCUUGCAGCAGGAGGUAUCAGUCCUGCUGCUGGGUUGUUGCUCUCCUAUGGCCUCCUGUAGCUUGAUUUCACAGAAGUGUGAUUGACUUGGAGUUACAUUGUGUCUUUAAGUUUUCCAGUUUUCUGUUUUUUUUAGCAGUGGAUAAUCAAAAGUGUGUUACAUGCUUAAAUGAUAAAAUAAUUAUUGUGGGUGAUUUUAACAUUUUAACAUGAUUUUAACAUCCAUGUAGAUGCUAAAAAU
Molecule: long non-coding RNA, 1149 nt
Organism: Haplochromis burtoni (Burton's mouthbrooder)
Lineage: Eukaryota; Metazoa; Chordata; Actinopteri; Cichliformes; Cichlidae
Exons: 3
Source: RefSeq, a predicted model, not a curated record